UAGAGUUUAUGGAUUGGGGUGAUUAUGGUGCUAUGGGAAACUUUAUCAAGAUUGGUUCUGUAGUGUCCAAAGAGGUUGAUGAGCAAGAUGACAUUUUUGUCAUAGUGGCUCCUCAGAAUGUUGUUGGCAAUUGUAUUAUUGACGACCUAAAAGCUAUGACUGAUGCUGCUGGGAAC
Juglans microcarpa x Juglans regia is the source of this 176-nucleotide long non-coding RNA. RefSeq lists it as uncharacterized. The record is from RefSeq and is a predicted model, not a curated record. NCBI's taxonomy places the organism in Eukaryota, Viridiplantae, Streptophyta, Magnoliopsida, Fagales, Juglandaceae. The transcript is spliced from 3 exons.